AAUCGGAAUGCAGGGUGUAGCGGUGAAAUGCGUUGAUAUCCUGCAGAACACCGGAGGCGAAGGCGGAUUCCUGGAACGCAACUGACGCUGAGGCGCGAAAGCCGGGGGAGCAAACAGGAUUAGAUACCCUGGUAGUCCCGACCUUAAACGGUGCACACUCGGGGUGGGGCCAUUUCACCGGCCCCGUCUCUCAGCUAACGCGUUAAGUGUGCCGCCUGGGGAGUACGGCCGCAAGGCUAAAACUCAAAGAAAUUGACGGGGGCCCGCACAAGCAGAGGAGCAUGUUGCUUAAUUCGAUGCAACGCGAAGAACCUUACCUGGGCUUGACAUCCAGCUGCACGGCCUGUGAAAGCAGGCUUCCUUCGAGGGUGCUGGACAGGUGCUGCAUGGCUGUCGUCAGUUCGUGCCGUGAGGUGUUUGGUUAAGUCCACCAACGAACGCAACCCCUUUGGGAUGUUGCCAGCGGGUAACGCCGGGAACUCGUCCCAGACUGCUUGUUCACGCAAGAGGAAGGUGGGGAUGACGUCAAGUCAGUAUGGCCCUUACGCCCAGGGCUGCACACGUGCUACAAUGGCCGGUACAGAGGGAAGCGAGACCGCAAGGUGGAGCCAACCCCACAGAGCCGGCCCCAGUUCAGAUCGGGGUCUGCAACCCGACCCCGUGAAGUCGGAUUUGCUAGUAACGGCGUAUCAGCUACGACGCCGUGAAUGCGUUCCCGGGCCUUGUACACACCGCCCGUCACAUCAUGAAAGCCGUCUGCACCCGAAGUCCGGCAUUCGUCGGCCUAAGGUGUGGGUGGUGAUUGGGAUGAAGUCGUAACAAGGUAACCGUUGGGGAACCAGCGGUUG
Molecule: ribosomal RNA, 848 nt
Filed under: uncultured Fibrobacter sp.
Lineage: Bacteria; Pseudomonadati; Fibrobacterota; Fibrobacteria; Fibrobacterales; Fibrobacteraceae
Description: bacterial SSU rRNA
Rfam family: Bacterial small subunit ribosomal RNA
Source: RNAcentral